Dromaius novaehollandiae (emu) is the source of this 1833-nucleotide long non-coding RNA. RefSeq lists it as uncharacterized. The transcript has 5 exons. The record is from RefSeq and is a predicted model, not a curated record. Lineage: Eukaryota; Metazoa; Chordata; Aves; Casuariiformes; Dromaiidae.
CAGCCCGCAGGUCAAAUGCGGCCCGCUCAGCACUAGAGGGGGUUAGUUGACAAGGCAAAAUAAAAUCCCGCCGCUUCGCCGGGGAAGCGCCGCUGUGGCUGAGCGCAAAAAUACCCGAGGAGGAGCGAGGCGCGCGCCAAACUUCACGCGGGUGCUCGGCCGCGGCUGCCUCAGAGGCGGGCGGCCCGGUCGGGCGGCGACGCGCUCUGCCCUGGCACCGGGCGCUGCGCUUUCGGCCGGCUGGAACCGGCCGUAGGCAUCUCCAAAACAGGGGGUCCACUGAGCAGAGGAAGCCCACCGGAGGAUGGUUUUACUGAUGAGCGUGAAACGCAGUUCCGGGAGUGGCUCCCCGACUGGACAGCCGCGGAAGAAGAUACCUGGGAUUUUGCGGAAGAGAUGUACUUUUUAAAGUUACACCAAGAGAGUACAUGAGUGAAUAUCCCCAACUAAGGAAAACUUCAGUGAUCCAAAAAAGAAAAAAAAAAAAAAAAGCUGAACUAUUCAAGCUACAAGCAAAUCUGAACUAGAUAGCAGUUGGCAAAAAGAGGAUUGAUGUCUGCUUCUCAGGCUUCCAGCCACUAGAGGGCAAGUCUUUUCUGUGUCUUUUCCCAUUUAAGAAAGUAUUUGACUCCAAACACAAAGCUCUAUUUCCUAUACAGCAUAUAUCAGAUUGAACACACUAUUCUAACAGAUAUAUCUGAACCUGAAUCCUUUCAGCACUACUGAACAACAUUCAAGGAACAAAUAAGGUCACAGCAUGGUAAUACCAGCUUUUCUUAAGUCAAUGGUCACAGGGAACAAGAGAAGAUAAAAUCUCAUUGGGUAUCAACCUAUUGGACAUCAACUCAAUUCUUCCCUUACUUUAACUGUGCAACCUGCACCUUUGUUAAUUUUAUACAAGUAAAUGCACCAAGGUAAACUGCAAUGAGGAUAUAAAGUACUUACUUCAAACCAGUGAAAUCUGAAGGGCACUGUUUACUUUCAGAUCAAAAAAGAACAAGUGAUAAUUUUAUCAAAGAAUUCCUAUGCAAUUCUUCCAAUGUAUGUGGCUCCUGGGAGUGGUGGCCUUAUACCCCAGAUCUUGGCAGAUAACUAUGAUUUAUUCACUGGCAGUCAUCUGACCUGCUCACUGAUCCAGGCCAGAACUAUCAAAAAUGUAUUUAACAACAAAGAAUAAAUCACUUCAGAUGAGUCUUUUAUAGUGGCUGAUUGAAGCUGCUAAAUGGAGUAUUUAACCUGAGUUACAAGUCACAUGUAUCUCGUUUUCAUCACUUCUCAAGCAACAGGUUUCAAUAGAGAACAAAUGUAGCAGAUCUCCGAGGAAGUAAGUAUCAAAUAUGUUUAAAUUAGGUGGUGUAGGUUAGGUUAGGGAUGGACAUACAGAGAUUAUCCUGGUUUGUGGAGAGGAAGAAAGGAGUUGCUUUGAGGGCUUUUCGGAACAGCAGUAUGUUUUUAUUAAUGGAAUCAAUAAUCAAGAACUCCUACUGCAUGUACUGUUUCUCUAUCAUUCAUCUUAAUCACGAUAACUGGAUUCUCUUGGUAAGACUCAUAACUGGUGUGGUAAAGUUUCCAGCUCUAGUUUGUAAGAAUACUGUGUUGUUUUCAUGAUGAAAAAAUAAUACGUAUUUUUUUCUUUUGUAACCAAAACAGUGUCUCUAAUUUCAAAGGUUUUGUUCUAUUUUUACUUGCAUCUCUUAGUGUUUCAGCUUGCCAUGGGCCUAGUAACUGUGAUAUUCCCUGAAAAAUAAAGGGAUUACAUGGAAAUAGUGUCACAUACUCUGAUAGAAAUGCAUCAACAGACGCCACUGUAAUACAAUUAAAAAUAAAUUUCAU